Non-coding RNA from Coprinopsis sp. MPI-PUGE-AT-0042, 90 nucleotides. NCBI's taxonomy places the organism in Eukaryota, Fungi, Basidiomycota, Agaricomycetes, Agaricales, Psathyrellaceae. The record is from the annotation of a GenBank genome assembly.
GCCCGUAUAGCUCAGUUGGUAGAGCAUUGUACUUAUGAGGAUACAGUUUAUGCCAUGCAAGGGUCGCGAGUUCGAUUCUCGCUAUGGGCA